Molecule: long non-coding RNA, 1308 nt
Organism: Ahaetulla prasina
Lineage: Eukaryota; Metazoa; Chordata; Lepidosauria; Squamata; Colubridae
Exons: 2
Source: RefSeq, a predicted model, not a curated record
GGAACAACCAUCGUAAUCCCCACCCAUCAUCACCCACACAAAAGCAAAUCAGAAGACGUUGGUUGUGAUGGGCAAGUUCCUUCUGCUUUUGCCUUAGCACAAAACCUUCUGCAUCUCUUCUAAGAGAGAGAUUGUUUUUCCCAGACGCUCCAACCUUGAGAGCUGUAGAGAACUUAACCAUGAAGGCCACUUUGCUCCUUAGUGCCAUUCUUUUCAUGAGCCUGAUUACGGCUAAUGUACAAGGUAAAUCUGAAGAUAAAACUAAAUCUGAAGCUAAACCUGGAGCUGACUUGAUGAACAAGACAAAUACUACUCCUAGGAGUUCUGGCAUAAUGGUGUCUGGGGGCCCAGUCUUCUUUUUGUUGCCACUGAUGUGGAUGAUGGUCCAUCUUCUUCACAUGUAACGAACCUGAAGCUUCACUUUUUGGGAGAAAUGAAGGUCCAUCAGUCCUACCCAAGUUUAAGAAAAGGGGCUCCUUUCCAUUGCUAACUGCUUAAUAGCCCAGCCAGUAUCCUGCUCUUGCUGCAAUAUUAGUCCGACAUGUUGGACUAUCCAUGAUUUCAUUGCAUCGGCCAAUUAAACAGGGAAAUGAAAAAGAAAGCCAGGGAAAUGUCUGAUGUCAAUCCUCAAGUGCAUGCUUUUUUUGCAAUAUGACUGUCAUUGUUCAGAGGAAAUCUGCGUAAGACGAGUUAUGAAAUAUCUCAGACACAUCUUCUGCUCCUGAGACAGAUAAUCCAGAUCAUACUUUUCCUACAAAAUCCUUUUGCAGAGCUGUCUAGGGAUGGACAUAAGCCACACAUGCCUGUAAUCAUGUCUCGUCCAUUAUGGUCUCCAUCCUACUGAUGCUCUUUUAUAUUUGGUCUCUCAAGCAACUAUGCUGUCACCUCUGAAGAAAUGAAUCUGCCUUGUGAGAAUCCUUCUCUUGUCUCAAAGAAAGAAGUAACUGCUCUACCCAGGAGGCUUCAUCUUGAUGAGCUUCAGCACUUCAAGACAAGAAUACCGGUUGCUGUACGAUAAAGCCACAUCUAGCGUGGUGGUUCCACCAGAUUAUCCUUUUUUUAACAGGACAGGAGAGGACAAUUGCUCAUCAGACUGCAAGUAGCCAAACAGACAGAAUGUCUCUGAUUGUAACUGCAUCUGCCUUUAUGUGAAAUGUAAUCAGGUUUUUUGCAUUUCCCCAUUUACAGAAAACAUUUACAGAAAAUAAUAACACAAGAUAACAAGUUUGUUUUAUAAAUUGGUUGCUAUUACCUUCUGUAAUAUAUGUGCAGGUUGAUUUAAAUAAAAGCUUUUUGGCUAGCUGGCAA